Molecule: long non-coding RNA, 703 nt
Filed under: Malus domestica (apple)
Lineage: Eukaryota; Viridiplantae; Streptophyta; Magnoliopsida; Rosales; Rosaceae
Description: long non-coding RNA (MDOM_LNC017616)
Source: RNAcentral
UGUGCAUCACAAGUCAUGGGUUCGAAGUACCCUAAGAGUUUUCGAUUUUUUCUUUAUUUUUUCAUAUUAUAAUUCAAUGCAUAUUGACAAAUAAUUUUAAUGAAUGAACAUAUAUUUGAUGCAAUUCAUGGCAAAUAUCAAAUUCACAUAAUUCAACAAUUAUGGAUAUAAUGCCAAAAAUUUGAUGCGAAAUAUAUUAAGCACACAAAUUAAACCCUCUUUUUGUCAAAUUGUAGCAAAGAUGUAAGUAGGGAUCGUUCUAGACCGGGGAUUAGGAGGGAUUGCUAAACGCUUGGAAACUGACUUAAACACUAAAAAAACAAAGUUAAAAACACUAAACUAGACUCAAAGAAUGCAAAACUAAAAGUUAAAACACUUAAACAAACCUAAAAACCAAAACAGCAACUAGAAGACUCAAAACUGCCUAAAAACCACUUUCUGGGCAGUUUUGAGCACUUACACUAAUCUGGACGAAAUUGGUUGAAAACUUGAAUCAAAACACUUAGAAACACAAAUCAAAACACUUUCUAACUAAUCUAAGACUUCAAAUUAAAGGGGGAUUUGUUUUGGACAGAAAUUGAAAACAAAACAGAAACUUUGAUUAACACAGAUUGUAAAAACGAUUUUGGUGAAAAAGAUGGUUAAAAGGCUAGUUAGGAGGUUCUUCUCCACACAUGUCACACUUGCAAACAAAACGAUUUUC